AGUGAACGCUGGCGGUAGGCCUAACACAUGCAAGUCGAACGGCAGCACAGUAAGAGCUUGCUCUUACGGGUGGCGAGUGGCGGACGGGUGAGGAAUACAUCGGAAUCUACUUUUUCGGGGGGGAUAACGUAGGGAAACUUACGCUAAUACCGCAUACGACCUACGGGUGAAAGCAGGGGAUCUUCGGACCUUGCGCGAUUGAAUGAGCCGAUGUCGGGUUAGCUAGUUGGCGGGGUAAAGGCCCACCAAGGCGACGAUCCGUAGCUGGUCUGAGAGGAUGGUCGGCCACACUGGAACUGAGACACGGUCAAGACUCCUACGGGAGGCAGCAGUGGGGAAUAUUAGACAAUGGGCGCAAGCCUGAUCCAGCCAUACCGCGUGGGUGAAGAAGGCCUUCGGGUUGUAAAGACCUUUUGUUGGGAGAGAAAAGCAGCAGGUUAAUACCCCGCUGUUCUGACGGUACCCAAAGAAUAAGCACCGGCUAACUUCGUG
This 492-nucleotide ribosomal RNA is filed under the name uncultured bacterium. RNAcentral describes it as "partial 16S ribosomal RNA". It matches the Rfam family "Bacterial small subunit ribosomal RNA", at positions 29 to 507 of the family's 1533-position model. The record is from RNAcentral.